Molecule: ribosomal RNA, 221 nt
Filed under: uncultured prokaryote
Description: partial 16S ribosomal RNA
Rfam family: Bacterial small subunit ribosomal RNA
Source: RNAcentral
UACGUAGGCAGCAAGCGUUGUUCGGAGUUACUGGGCGUAAAGAGUGCGUAGGCGGUCUUUUAAGUUUGGUGUGAAAUCUCCCGGCUCAACUGGGAGGGUGCGCCGAAAACUGGGAGGCUUGAGGAUGGGAGAGGCAUGCGGAAUUCCUGGUGUAGCGGUGAAAUGCGUAGAUAUCAGGAGGAACACCUGCGGUGUAGACAGCAUGCUGGACCAUUUCUGAC